AUUGAACGCUGGCGGCAGGCCUAACACAUGCAAGUCGAACGGUAACACGAAGAAUCUUUCUUCUUUGCUGGCGAGGGGCGGACGGGUGAGUCAUGUCUGGGAAACUCCCUGAUGUGGGGGGAUAACUACUGGAAACGGUAGCUAAUACCUCAUAACUUCUCCAGCCCAAAGAGGGGGACCUUCGGGCCUCUUGCCGUCGGGUGUGCCCAGCUGGUAGUAGCUAGUAGGUGGGGUUACGGCUCACCUAGGCGACGAUCCCUAGCUGGUCUGAGAGGAUGAGCAGCCACACUGGAACUGAGACACGGUCCAGGCUCCUACGGGAGGCAGCAGUGGGGAAUAUUGCACAAUGGGCGCAAGCCUGAUGCAGCCAUGCCGCGUGUAUGAAGAAGGCCUUCGGGUUGUAAAGUACUUUCAGCGGGGAGAAAGGGAGUAAAGUUAAUACCUUUACUCAUUGACGUUACCCGCAGAAGAAGCACCGGCUAACUACGUG
RNAcentral lists this ribosomal RNA (490 nucleotides) under uncultured bacterium. Its description in RNAcentral is "partial 16S ribosomal RNA". It matches the Rfam family "Bacterial small subunit ribosomal RNA", at positions 30 to 507 of the family's 1533-position model. The record is from RNAcentral.